This 524-nucleotide ribosomal RNA is filed under the name uncultured bacterium. Its description in RNAcentral is "bacterial SSU rRNA". It matches the Rfam family "Bacterial small subunit ribosomal RNA", at positions 381 to 895 of the family's 1533-position model. The record is from RNAcentral.
GCCUGAUCCAGCCAUGCCGCGUGCAGGAUGAAGGCCUUCGGGUUGUAAACUGCUUUUGUACGGAACGAAAAAGACUCUCUCUAAUACAGGGGGUGAAUGACGGUACCGUAAGAAUAAGCACCGGCUAACUACGUGCCAGCAGCCGCGGUAAUACGUAGGGUGCAAGCGUUAAUCGGAAUUACUGGGCGUAAAGCGUGCGCAGGCGGUUAUGUAAGACAGAGGUGAAAUCCCCGGGCUCAACCUGGGAACUGCCUUUGUGACUGCAUAGCUGGAGUGCGGCAGAGGGGGAUGGAAUUCCGCGUGUAGCAGUGAAAUGCGUAGAUAUGCGGAGGAACACCGAUGGCGAAGGCAAUCCCCUGGGCCUGCACUGACGCUCAUGCACGAAAGCGUGGGGAGCAAACAGGAUUAGAUACCCUGGUAGUCCACGCCCUAAACGAUGUCAACUGGUUGUUGGGUCUUCACUGACUCAGUAACGAAGCUAACGCGUGAAGUUCGACCGCCGUGGGGAGUACGGCCGCAAGGUU